RNAcentral lists this ribosomal RNA (492 nucleotides) under uncultured Gammaproteobacteria bacterium. Its description in RNAcentral is "bacterial SSU rRNA". It matches the Rfam family "Bacterial small subunit ribosomal RNA", at positions 9 to 795 of the family's 1533-position model. The record is from RNAcentral. Lineage: Bacteria; Pseudomonadati; Pseudomonadota; Gammaproteobacteria.
GAGUUUGAUCCUGGCUCAAAUUGAACGCUGGCGGCAGGCUUAACACAUGCAAGUGGAGCGGAAACGAUGGGAGCUUGCUCCCAGGCGUCAAGCGGCGGACGGGUGAGUAACGCGUAGGAAUCUACCCAGUAGCGGGGGAUAGCCCGGGGAAACUCGGAUUAAUACCGCAUACGCCCUAAUGGGGAAAGCAGGGGAUCUUCGGACCUUGCACUAUUGGAUGAGCCUGCGUGAGAUUAGCUUGUUGGUGGGAGUAACGGCCUACCAAGGCGACGAUCUCUAGCUGGUCUGGGGUGAAAUUCCGGGGCUCAACCCCGGAACUGCCUUUGAUACUGGCAAUUUCGAGUUCGAGAGAGGUGAGUGGAAUUCCGAGUGUAGAGGUGAAAUUUGUAGAUAUUUGGAGGAACACCAGUGGGGAAGGCGGCUUUCUGGCUUGACCCUGAGGGUCAGGUGGGAAAGCGUGGGGAGCAAACAGGAUUAGAUACCCUGGUAGUC